Molecule: unclassified non-coding RNA, 227 nt
Filed under: uncultured fungus
Lineage: Eukaryota; Fungi
Description: sequence contains ITS1, 5.8S rRNA gene
Rfam family: 5.8S ribosomal RNA (bases 179-227)
Source: RNAcentral
UCUCCGUUGGUGAACCAGCGGAGGGAUCAUUACUGAGUGAGGGCCUUCGGGCUCGACCUCCAACCCUUUGUGAACACAACUUGUUGCUUCGGGGGCGACCCUGCCGUUUCGACGGCGAGCGCCCCCGGAGGCCAUUAAACACUGCAUCAUUGCGUCGGAGUUAAAGUAAAUUAAACAAAACUUUCAACAACGGAUCUCUUGGUUCCAGCAUCGAUGAAGAACGCAGC